UGCCUCUCUCCCUCUCUCUGCCUUUCUUAUAAAGGCCUUAAAACCAAGGACUGCCUCUUCUCAUCGGACCUGCCAUGCUGGAGCAAUGAAGCAGGUCUCCCUCUAAAGAGCACGUCUAAUCUAAUCAACUGCCAAGCGGCUUCCCUGAGCUCCAGCCACAGCUUCUGCCAACCCAAGCCCCUGACUGAGCAAGUCAAGGACUCUCCUCCCUUGCAGUCAAACUUCUCACACCCUGCCUCGCCCAGCAGCCCUAACCACAAGAAGAUGUGGGACCCUAUUUUUACCCCACAAUCUGUAUUAUCCCAACUCCUAUAGGCUUCCAAUUACAUCUUUGAAGAAAAAGAAAAACCGAUCAUUGGAAUUUGUAUUUAACCACAAAGGAUCCUGAAAGACUCUAUUCUUGAAACAACCAACCAUAAAAAUGAACAGAGUUAAAGAGCUGGAGGCUUCACAUGUCCUGAGUUGAAAACAUCAACGCCUCUCAGGCCUAUGUUAAUUAAAGUACUGACAUAAGAACCGCCACAUAGACCAAAGUAAUAAAACAGAGAGCCUAGGAUGAACCCAGAGAGUCAACUGGACUUUGACAACAAUUUCAAGACACUAUGGCUGGAGAAACAUUGCCUCUUCUACAAAUGGUUUUGGAAAAGGUAACAUAACUGGACCCCUACAUCAAGUACUUCCUAUUUACUCAAAAUGGAUAGAAAAUAUAGCAUGAGUUGACCCUUAGAAUAUGCUGGAAAGCCAUACAGCAUUAUCUUGGUUAUUCUCAGUUAUGACACCAGAGUUACAAGUAAGGAAGCAAGAGUGAACCAGUGGAAAGAUACCAAGCUAAAAGCUUCUCCGGCCCAAGGGACAUAACCAAUAAAGGGCAAUUUA
This is a long non-coding RNA of Mastomys coucha (southern multimammate mouse), 876 nucleotides long. RefSeq lists it as uncharacterized. NCBI's taxonomy places the organism in Eukaryota, Metazoa, Chordata, Mammalia, Rodentia, Muridae. The record is from RefSeq and is a predicted model, not a curated record. The transcript is spliced from 2 exons.